GAUGAAGAACGUAGUGAAACGCGAUAUGUAAUGUGAAUUGCAGAAUUCAGUGAAUCAUCGAAUCUUUGAACGCGCAUGGCGCCUUCCAGUAUCCUGGGAGGCAUGCCUGUCCGAGCGUCGUUUCAACCCUCGAGCCCCCGUGGCCCGGCGUUGGGGAUCUGCCCAGGCAGUCCCCGAAAACCAGUGGCGGACCCGUUACAGGCCCUUCCCUUGCGUAGUAGCAUUCGCCUCGCAUCGGGAGCCGGCGGGCUUCCAGCCUCUAAACCCCCAUCAAGUCCGCCCCGGCGGCACCAAGGUUGACCUCGGAUCAGGUAGGAAUACCCGCUGAACUUAAGCAUAUCAAUAAGCGGAGGA
RNAcentral lists this unclassified non-coding RNA (354 nucleotides) under soil metagenome. Its description in RNAcentral is "partial contains 5.8S ribosomal RNA, internal transcribed spacer 2, and large subunit ribosomal RNA". The stretch from base 1 to 120 matches the Rfam family "5.8S ribosomal RNA", at positions 35 to 154 of the family's 154-position model. The record is from RNAcentral.